RNAcentral lists this ribosomal RNA (249 nucleotides) under uncultured Actinomycetales bacterium. Its description in RNAcentral is "partial 16S ribosomal RNA". It matches the Rfam family "Bacterial small subunit ribosomal RNA", at positions 89 to 334 of the family's 1533-position model. Lineage: Bacteria; Bacillati; Actinomycetota; Actinomycetes; Actinomycetales. The record is from RNAcentral.
GGAUUAGUGGCGAACGGGUGAGUAAUACGUGAGUAACCUACCUUUAACUCUGGGAUAAGCCCGGGAAACUGGGUCUAAUACCGGAUACGACCAAUCUCCGCAUGGGGUGUUGGUGGAAAGCGUUAUGUAGUGGUUAUAGAUGGGCUCACGGCCUAUCAGCUUGUUGGUGAGGUAACGGCCUACCAAGGCGGCGACGGGUAGCCGGCCUGAGAGGGUGGACGGCCACAUUGGGACUGAGAUACGGCCCAG